UUAAACUGAAGAGUUUGAUCCUGGCUCAGAUUGAACGCUGGUGGCAUGCUUAACACAUGCAAGUCGAACGGUAACAGGUCUUAGGAUGCUGACGAGUGGCGGACGGGUGAGUAACGCGUAGGAAUCUGCCCAUUUGAGGGGGAUACCAGUUGGAAACGACUGUUAAUACCGCAUAAUAUCUGUGGAUUAAAGGUGGCUUUCGGGCUGUCGCAGAUGGAUG
Molecule: ribosomal RNA, 220 nt
Filed under: Francisella tularensis subsp. holarctica
Lineage: Bacteria; Pseudomonadati; Pseudomonadota; Gammaproteobacteria; Thiotrichales; Francisellaceae
Description: partial 16S ribosomal RNA
Rfam family: Bacterial small subunit ribosomal RNA
Source: RNAcentral